RNAcentral lists this ribosomal RNA (253 nucleotides) under uncultured bacterium. Its description in RNAcentral is "partial 16S ribosomal RNA". It matches the Rfam family "Bacterial small subunit ribosomal RNA", at positions 524 to 776 of the family's 1533-position model. The record is from RNAcentral.
UACGUAGGGUCCGAGCGUUGUCCGGAAUUACUGGGCGUAAAGAGCUCGUAGGCGGUUUGUCGCGUUGUUCGUGAAAACUCACAGCUUAACUGUGGGCGUGCGGGCGAUACGGGCAGACUGGAGUACUGCAGGGGAGACUGGAAUUCCUGGUGUAGCGGUGGAAUGCGCAGAUAUCAGGAGGAACACCGGUGGCGAAGGCGGGUCUCUGGGCAGUAACUGACGCUGAGGAGCGAAAGCGUGGGGAGCGAACAGG